Methyloceanibacter caenitepidi is the source of this 89-nucleotide non-coding RNA. The record is from Rfam. NCBI's taxonomy places the organism in Bacteria, Pseudomonadati, Pseudomonadota, Alphaproteobacteria, Hyphomicrobiales, Hyphomicrobiaceae.
CGCUGUCUUGCGGAAGAGACCGGCUAAUCCCGGCGCCGAAGGAGCAACCGCCCCGGAAACUCUCAGGCAACAAGGACCGCAAGGCAUAC